Molecule: ribosomal RNA, 497 nt
Filed under: uncultured bacterium
Lineage: Bacteria
Description: partial 16S ribosomal RNA
Rfam family: Bacterial small subunit ribosomal RNA
Source: RNAcentral
GAUGAACGCUGGCGGCGUGCCUAAUACAUGCAAGUCGAGCGAACAGACGAGGAGCUUGCUCCCCUGACGUUAGCGGCGGACGGGUGAGUAACACGUGGAUAACCUACCUAUAAGACUGGGAUAACUUCGGGAAACCGGAGCUAAUACCGGAUAAUAUAUUGAACCGCAUGGUUCAAUAGUGAAAGACGGUUUUGCUGUCACUUAUAGAUGGAUCCGCGCCGCAUUAGCUAGUUGGUAAGGUAACGGCUUACCAAGGCGACGAUGCGUAGCCGACCUGAGAGGGUGAUCGGCCACACUGGAACUGAGCCACGGUCCAGACUCCUACGGGAGGCAGCAGUAGGGAAUCUUCCGCAAUGGGCGAAAGCCUGACGCAGCAACGCCGCGUGAGUGAUGAAGGUCUUCGGAUCGUAAAACUCUGUUAUUAGGGAAGAACAAAUGUGUAAGUAACUAUGCACGUCUUGACGGUACCUAAUCAGAAAGCCACGGCUAACUACGUG